UGGGGAAUCUUGCACAAUGGGGGAAACCCUGAUGCAGCGACGCCGCGUGAACGAUGGAGCCCUUCGGGGUGUAAAGUUCUUUCGACAGGAACGAUAAUGACGGUACCUGGAGAAGAAGCUGCGGCUAACUACGUGCCAGCAGCCGCGGUAAUACGUAGGCAGCGAGCGUUGUUCGGAGUUACUGGGCGUAAAGAGUGCGUAGGCGGCGAGCCAAGUUUGGUGUGAAAUCUCCCGGCUUAACCGGGAGGGUGCGCCGAAAACUGGUUGGCUGGAGUAUGGGAGAGGAAAGCGGAAUUCCUGGUGUAGCGGUGAAAUGCGUAGAUAUCAGGAGGAACACCUGCGGUGUAGACAGCUUUCUGGACCAAAACUGACGCUGAGGCACGAAAGCGUGGGUAGCAAACA
RNAcentral lists this ribosomal RNA (402 nucleotides) under uncultured bacterium. RNAcentral describes it as "bacterial SSU rRNA". It matches the Rfam family "Bacterial small subunit ribosomal RNA", at positions 355 to 774 of the family's 1533-position model. The record is from RNAcentral.